Molecule: non-coding RNA, 196 nt
Organism: Triticum aestivum (bread wheat)
Lineage: Eukaryota; Viridiplantae; Streptophyta; Magnoliopsida; Poales; Poaceae
Source: Rfam
AUACCUUUCUCGGCCUUUUGGCUAAGAUCAAGUGUAGUAUCUGUUCUUAUCAGUUUAAUAUCUGAUAUGUGGGUCAUGUGCUCACAACGAUAUUAAAUUUAUUUUUUAUGGGAGAGGGUCCACCACAGUGGCUUGCCAUUGGGGCUCUCAGGUGUUGCCUGGGCGUUGCACUACAGCCCAGGCAGGCGCACCCCAA